GUGCUCGCUUCGGAAGCACAUAUACUAAAAUUGGAAUGAUACAGAGGAGGUCAGCAUGGCCCCUGCGCAAGGAUGACACACAAAUUCGUGAAGUGUUCCAUAUUUUU
RNAcentral lists this small nuclear RNA (107 nucleotides) under Tursiops truncatus (common bottlenose dolphin). The record is from RNAcentral. RNAcentral also lists the same sequence under 1 other name. Lineage: Eukaryota; Metazoa; Chordata; Mammalia; Artiodactyla; Delphinidae.